GACGAACGCUGGCGGCGUGCUUAACACAUGCAAGUCGAACGGUGAAGCUCCAGCUUGCUGGAGUGGAUCAGUGGCGAACGGGUGAGUAACACGUGAGCAACCUGCCCCUGACUCUGGAAUAAGCGCUGGAAACGGCGUCUAAUACUGGAUACGAGAAGGGUCCGCAUGGGCACCUUCUGGAAAGUUUUUCGGUUGGGGAUGGGCUCGCGCCCUAUCAGCUUGUUGGUGAGGUAAUGGCUCACCAAGGCGACGACGGGUAGCCGGCCUGAGAGGGCGACCGGCCACACUGGGACUGAGACACGGCCCAGACUCCUACGGGAGGCAGCAGUGGGGAAUAUUGCACAAUGGGCGAAAGCCUGAUGCAGCGACGCCGCGUGAGGGAUGACGGCCUUCGGGUUGUAAACCUCUUUCAUCAGGGAAGAAGCGAAAGUGACGGUACCUGCAGAAGAAGCACCGGCUAACUACGUG
This 468-nucleotide ribosomal RNA is filed under the name uncultured bacterium. RNAcentral describes it as "partial 16S ribosomal RNA". It matches the Rfam family "Bacterial small subunit ribosomal RNA", at positions 28 to 507 of the family's 1533-position model. The record is from RNAcentral.